Juglans microcarpa x Juglans regia is the source of this 454-nucleotide long non-coding RNA. RefSeq lists it as uncharacterized. NCBI's taxonomy places the organism in Eukaryota, Viridiplantae, Streptophyta, Magnoliopsida, Fagales, Juglandaceae. The record is from RefSeq and is a predicted model, not a curated record. The transcript has 2 exons.
AUCUUAAUCAAGGCUGUUGCUCAAGUUUUACCGACAUACAUCAUGAGCUGUUUUAAACUCCCAAAGUUAUUGUGUAUGGAGUUGGAAUUUAUGUUUGCACGGUUUUGGUGGGGACAACGUGGAUUUGAACAGAUGAAGGUUUAUCACAAAUCCUGAUUCAUUAUUUUAUAAGGUAUUUAAGGCUAAAUAUUUCCCACAUACAUCAUUUUUACAGUCAAAUAUUGGUUGCAAUGUUUCAUAUGUAUGACGAAGUAUCAUUGCUGCAAAGGACAUCCUCUCAAAAGACUGUAUAUGGAGGGUUGGAAGUGGUGAUUCUAUUCAUCUUGGGCAAGAUGGAUUGGUUGACACUUGCUUAGCACCUUUUGCUGAUGUCUGUUCUCAAAUACUCCCAACAAAUGCUACUAUGAAUGCUUUGAUGAAUCCAUCUUCAAGAACUUGGAAUGCAGAUUUGAUA